This 24-nucleotide non-coding RNA is filed under the name Cricetulus griseus (Chinese hamster). Lineage: Eukaryota; Metazoa; Chordata; Mammalia; Rodentia; Cricetidae. The record is from RNAcentral.
ACAUGUAGACAGAACACUGUAUAC